UACGGGGGGGGUAAGCGUUGUUCGGAAUUACUGGGCGUAAAGGGCUCGUAGGCGGCCAACUAAGUCAUACGUGAAAUCCCUCAGCUUAACUGGGGAACUGCGUGUGAUACUGGAUGGCUUGGAUUUGGGAGAGGGAUGCGGAAUUCCAGGUGUAGCGGUGAAAUGCGUAGAUAUCAGGAGGAACACCGGUGGCGAAGGCGGCCCUCUGGACGGAUACUGACGCUGAGGCGCGAAAGCGUGGGGAUCAAACAGG
RNAcentral lists this ribosomal RNA (253 nucleotides) under uncultured bacterium. RNAcentral's name for it is "partial 16S ribosomal RNA". It matches the Rfam family "Bacterial small subunit ribosomal RNA", at positions 524 to 776 of the family's 1533-position model. The record is from RNAcentral.